CAUGAUUACACUGCAAGUCGAACGGCAGCGGGGGAAAGCUUGCUUUCCUGCGGCGAGUGGCGAACGGGUGAGUAAUACAUCGGAACGUGCCCUGUAGUGGGGGAUAACUAGUCGAAAGAUUAGCUAAUACCGCAUACGACUGAGGGUGAAAGUGGGGGACCGCAAGGCCUCAUGCUAUAGGAGCGGCCGAUGUCUGAUAGCUAGUUGGUGGGGUAAAGGCCCACCAGGCGACGAUCAGUAGCUGGUCUGAGAGGACGAUCAGCCACACUGGGACUGAGACACGGCCCAGACUCCUACGGGAGGCAGCAGUGGGGAAUUUUGGACAAUGGGCGAAAGCCUGAUCCAGCAAUGCCGCGUGUGUGAAGAAGGCCUUCGGGUUGUAAAGCACUUUUGUCCGGAAAGAAAUGGCUCUGGUUAAUACCUGGGGUCGAUGACGGUACCGGAAGAAUAAGGACCGGCUAACUACGUGCCAGCAGCCGCGGUAAUACGUAGGGUCCAAGCGUUAAUCGGAAUUACUGGGCGUAAAGCGUGCGCAGGCGGUUGUGCAAGACCGAUGUGAAAUCCCCGAGCUUAACUUGGGAAUUGCAUUGGUGACUGCACGGCUAGAGUGUGUCAGAGGGGGGUAGAAUUCCACGUGUAGCAGUGAAAUGCGUAGAGAUGUGGAGGAAUACCGAUGGCGAAGGCAGCCCCCUGGGAUAACACUGACGCUCAUGCACGAAAGCGUGGGGAGCAAACAGGAUUAGAUACCCUGGUAGUCCACGCCCUAAACGAUGUCAACUAGUUGUUGGGGAUUCAUUUCCUUAGUAACGUAGCUAACGCGUGAAGUUGACCGCCUGGGGAGUACGGUCGCAAGAUUAAAACUCAAAGGAAUUGACGGGGACCCGCACAAGCGGUGGAUGAUGUGGAUUAAUUCGAUGCAACGCGAAAAACCUUACCUACCCUUGACAUGCCACUAACGAAGCAGAGAUGCAUUAGGUGCUCGAAAGAGAAAGUGGACACA
This 1000-nucleotide ribosomal RNA is filed under the name Ralstonia mannitolilytica. Its description in RNAcentral is "bacterial SSU rRNA". It matches the Rfam family "Bacterial small subunit ribosomal RNA", at positions 43 to 1036 of the family's 1533-position model. Lineage: Bacteria; Pseudomonadati; Pseudomonadota; Betaproteobacteria; Burkholderiales; Burkholderiaceae. The record is from RNAcentral.